UUAAUAGUCAUGUGACUUUUUUUUCUGCCAGCCAUGUGCUCCGUAUCAUUUUACUCUGAAAUAACUAUGCGGAUUUCAGCUCAACCUCCCUUUGCUUAUAAUGCAUGACAUACCCCGUGAGGGAGCCUGAGAACAGACUCCCUUGAAAAGCAAGGUUCUCAUAGUUGGCCUGUAACCAUGGAAGCAGAUGCCGUUUUCUUCUUACCCUGCUUACCUCUUUGCAGCCUCGAGCUGCUCCUUAUUGUUAAAAGGGGCUUAAUUCCAGAAAGGUGAACUUGAACUGCCUCGAGGUAAUUUCAGUGAUUUGUAAAAAUGGUAUUCUCAAGCACUGAAAUAUCCUUAAAAGCACAUAAAUUCAUGGUGGUUUAUGAAAGGCACAUGAAAUUACUAUGACUCGGCAAAGGGGAGGUCCAUAGCAGAAUAAAGAAGGUUAUUGUGACAGAUGAAACAUAAUUCACAAUGAGUACUCUUUUCAUCCAGCCUUAAGCAGCAGAGGAUUACUUUCAAGCUGAAUUUUAUGGCAGAACAUAUGAACUGAGUUGUUUUUUCUUUGUUUUUUUUUUUAACAUGCAAGGAUAGAGCAAAGACAGAAAAACUCUCUUCAAUUGCGUGGUGUUUAUUUUGUGUGUAUCUCUUUGGGGCUCUUAAUUUGUUUCAUCUAAAACAGAAGAUAUGCUGGCCAGCAGAGUCUGAUGCAACCGAGGGAGUAGAUUGGGAGGGUAGGAAAUAUGAAAUUUAAAGCAAUAAAAGUUGUGGUUUUCCUGUGUAUAUAAUGAAUGAUACAUGAGGAGUUAAAUAUAUUUCUACAUUUUUGGCAUACAUAUGAAAUAAAAAUGAUACUUUUUUCAACAAAUGCAUGAGCUGCAAAAGUAGGUAAAUUUUAUUUCAUAACAUACUUUUGUUUAGAUAACAAUUUGUAGUCUCAUAGUCUUUAUUAGAAGUAAUAUGUUAGAUUUUUGAUGCCAUUAGCUUUUAUAUGAG
This 981-nucleotide long non-coding RNA is filed under the name Heterocephalus glaber (naked mole-rat). RNAcentral describes it as "lncRNA (ENSHGLG00000033796.1)". The record is from RNAcentral. Lineage: Eukaryota; Metazoa; Chordata; Mammalia; Rodentia; Bathyergidae.